CAGGCACCGAGGCAUAACCACGGUAAUUCUGUGGCUAAUACGUGUAACCACGGGCUGCUCCCCCCUAGCGGGCGGGCAGUUCGGGCUUGUCGGGCUGACCAACGGGGGGCAACCCCUGGCGUGAUGGCUGGCAAGCGCACCUCACCGCGGCUUGUUCUGUGGUGUGCGCGACGGGCUUCAGACCUAUCAACUAGAUGGCCAGGGAUAGCCUGGCCAUGGUCGCAACGGGUACAGAGGAUCAGGGUUCGGUCCUGGAGAGGUAGCCUGAGAGAUCGCUACUACUUCUAAGGAAGGCAGCAGGCGCGCAACGUUCCCAAUGGGGAUACCCUGAGGACGUGAAGGGACAUACCAAUGCCCAGCCCUUAAAGCUGGGCAAUUGGAAUGGGGGACCUCUAAACCCCACACCGAGUAACAAUUGGAGGACAAGUCUGGUGCCAGCACCCGCGGUAAUUCCAGCUCCAAUAGCAUCUAGUUAAGUUGUUGCAGUUAAAACGCUCGUAGUUCAAGCUGGUGCGCCCUGGGGAUUGCCCAGUACUGCCUCGGGAGGGCCCAGGCCGCAAGGCGUGGGUGCCCUUGGUCAGAAAAAGCGUUCCCAGGCCACUAGACGCUGGGGGAGAAGGCGGGAUGGGGCUUCAGUGCCCUGGUCGCUACCCCUGGCACCUUACUUUGAAGAAAUGUGAGCGCUCCAAGCAGGCCAUUCUGGCCCUUACAACCUCCAGCAAAGAAUAACGAAACAGGGGCUUGCCCCGGUCGUUGGUUGAGGGUAGGUCAAUGAUCUAUAGGGGGGAUCGGGGUGGGCCACAUGGCGGGGGUAGGGGUGAAAUCCGUUGAUCCUCGCCAGGUGAACUAGAGCGAAAGCAGCCCACAAGUACCCACCCUUUGAUCAAGAACGAAAGUCUGGGGAUCGAAGAUGAUCAGAUACCAUCGUAGUCCAGACCCUAAAUCAUGCCGGCCAUGGAUGGGCGUUCGUCCAUCCCGACCCUGCCCGCACCUUGUGGGAAACCAUAAGCGUUUGGGCUCCGGGGGGAGUAUGGUCGCAAGACUGAAACUUAAAGGAAUUGACGGAAGAGCACACAAGGAGUGGAGCCUGCGGCUUAAUUUGACUCAACACGGGGAAACUCACUAGGGCAGGAAGGGGGUAAGAAGGACAGCCUAUCAGGGCUUUCUUGAUUCCUCCAGUGGUGGUGCAUGGUCGUUCUUAGUUCGUGGACUGAUUUGUCUGGUCUAUUCCGCUAACGAGCGAGAACCCACCCAUCGAGGUUAGGCGUUGGGGCACGCCCAGGGGCCUGGGUGGUCGCGAGGCCACCUGGGUCCCAGGGCUGAAAACGCCCUCGCGCUUCGCUCCGGAGGGACCGGUACCAUUAAGGUGCUGGCAGCGGGUCAAUAACAGGUCAGUGAUGCCCUUAGAUGCUCUAGGCCGCACGCGCGCUACAAUGGGGCAAGUAUCGGGCUCUCCUGUGCUGAAAGGCGGCGGGGAAUCCGCGAAAGUGCCCCGUAUCCGGGAUAGCGCCGUGUAACUCGGCGCUUGAACAAGGAAUUUCUAGUAGUCAUGGGUCACCAGCCCGUGACGAUUCUGUCCCUGCUCUUUGUACACACCGCCCGUCGCUCCUACCGAUUGGGCUGUGAGGUGAGUUGCCAGGAGCUCCAACUAGAUUGGCAGACAGUCCUUCUCUUUGUAGUGAUAGGAGGCGAACCCCACGGCCUAGAGGAAGGAGAAGUCGUAACAAGGUAUC
Molecule: ribosomal RNA, 1733 nt
Filed under: Trichia scabra
Lineage: Eukaryota; Evosea; Eumycetozoa; Trichiida; Trichiidae
Description: bacterial SSU rRNA
Rfam family: Eukaryotic small subunit ribosomal RNA
Source: RNAcentral